Molecule: long non-coding RNA, 1745 nt
Organism: Gavialis gangeticus (Gharial)
Lineage: Eukaryota; Metazoa; Chordata; Crocodylia; Gavialidae
Exons: 2
Source: RefSeq, a predicted model, not a curated record
CAUGUUAAUUACCAAGCUCCAGCCAGCCUCCACAUCUUGUGCCUCAGUGUCCCUGUUCAAUGAACUUUAGAUAAAGCUCCCCUGAUGCCAUUUGGAAGGGCAAGGAUGCUGAUACAUGAAGACCCUCUGGGCGCUUUAAUUAAAGCAGUUCUCAGACCCACUCUUAUUAAAGCGCCCCCCUCCCCACUCCCAGAGCAUGUGUAAAAAUGCUCAAAGGUACUAUACUUUAUUCACAGAAGCAAAAGCAUAUUAAUGCAUGUGUAGACAUACCCACUGAGUUCUGUUCAGAUUUGGUUCAGAUUCUGUUUCUGUCAUUUAUUUAAGAUCAUUUGGUCCAUCUGUAAAAUGCUAAAAUUGGUCCAUUUUCUGCAAAGUGUUUUGAGAUCUGUGAAUGAACAUUGCUGUACAAGUGUCACAUAUUAUUACUGCUGGAUCAAUUAUAAUUAGAAUCAGAAAUUCCCAUGCAAACAAGCUCUAAGUCUUUGAAUUCUAGUGUUUACUUGAACAUCACUUUUGAAACCUGAAAGGUUUGUCCAUCACCAAAAUAAGAUAUUUAUAUUUACAAGGGUUUUAUUUUUAGUGAAGAAAAAUGUAACACAAAAAGGUGUGUGUGUGUGUGUGUGUGUGUGUGUGUGAGGGGUUAUCUGUGAAAUCUCAUGUCAAACAUUGUGAAAACUAGCAUAGUUAAUGUAACAUCUGUACUUGCUGCUUUCUACUUUUGCUCUGGAGCAGGAGCUGAAGGGAGUAGAAUAAAUAUUGGGCCAAAUCCUGAUCUUUCUCAAUGGGAUUUUGCCAUUGACUUCAUUGAGAUCUGGAUUAAUUUCAGUGUUCCAUUUGUAUCGAGCAGACUUCAGUAGAGGAAGAACUUUUGCUCACAUGGGAAAGUUUGCUGUACAAAACCAUUUGAAAAAUAAACAACUAUGUAAUCAUUUGGCAGUCUUGCUCACAAUGAAGUAGACCACCCUUGGAGGUCAGGAAAAGGAACUGAAGCAACCAGUUAAACCAAAAGUCCAACUUAACUUUUAUCUUGCCUCUUGAGAGUAGCCAAUAGGAAAUGCUCUAGAGGAAGGUGUAAAAUCUGAUAUAAUUUAAAAUUUUAAAUGAUUCAUACUUAUAAAGAGAGAAGUUUUUCCUAAUCCCAGGGACUUAAUGGUUGGCUUAUGGCCUGAUGCAUGAGUGUUGCUUACUUCACCUUUACUAAUAUAACUGCAGAUAUUUUUUCUUAUUUAUGUCUAAAGUUUUUUUUUUUGGAAUGCUUCUUCUUGGCCUGAGUAAAAUCUAAUAGUGAAUUCUAUGGGUCAAUGUAUACAUGUUAUAAGAUCUUAAUAUCCUCUUACCAUUUUAAAAUAGCCUUUCCAUUUUAUUUAAUGCCCUUUUUCUUGAGUGUUCAGAGAGGGUAAAUAACAUAUGCCUUUAUCACAUCACUUAUUAUUUCCUUUUCAAACCAAAUUGUGGUGUAUAAUUGUUAUAUAUAGUCAAAGGAGAUCAUUUCUCUGUUUUCCUGUGUGCGAGUAUGUGUGGCUGUGUGAGGAUUGCUUUAUACAUACUACAUUCUGAAAUGAAGAGGAGUCUCCCUCUCUGCUGAAUGGUACAGAUUUAUGGCAGCUGCCAUCUUGUAUUUUAAUACAAGUGCAGGAUAUUACGGAGAGUGCCACAGUAUGCUCGUUUCUUCUUAGAGACCAUGUUUCUUCUUUUAAUCUUUUGUAUUUCUUAAUCUCAAAUAAAUAAUCUAAACUGAAAAAAAA